Molecule: ribosomal RNA, 534 nt
Filed under: uncultured Acidobacteriota bacterium
Lineage: Bacteria; Pseudomonadati; Acidobacteriota
Description: bacterial SSU rRNA
Rfam family: Bacterial small subunit ribosomal RNA
Source: RNAcentral
UUGAUCCUGGCUCAGAAUCAACGCUGGCGGCGUGCCUAACACAUGCAAGUCGCGCGCGAAAGGGGGGUAACUCCCAAGUAGAGCGGCGAACGGGUGAGUUACGCGUGGGUGAUCUACCUCCGAGUGGGGAAUAACCCCGGGAAACUGGGUCUAAUACCGCAUGACAUCUUCGGGUCACACUGAAGAUCAAAGCCGGGGAUCGCAAGGCCUGGCGUUUGGAGAUGAGCCCGCGUCCGAUUAGCUAGUUGGUGGGGUAACGGCCCACCAAGGCGACGAUCGGUAGCCGGCCUGAGAGGGCGUACGGCCACACUGGGGCUGAGACACGGCCCAGACUCCUACGGGAGGCAGCUGUGGGGAAUUUUUCGCAAUGGGGGAAACCCUGACGAAGCAACGCCGCGUUGAGGAUGAAGGCCUUCGGGUCGUAAACUCCUGUCGACUGGGACGAAAGUUGUCUGGCCUAAUACGCCAGGCUAUCGACUGUACCGGUGGAGGAAGCCACUGCUAACUCUGUGCCAGCAGCCGCGGUAAUAAGGU